RNAcentral lists this small nucleolar RNA (107 nucleotides) under Setaria italica (foxtail millet). RNAcentral describes it as "Plant small nucleolar RNA R71". It matches the Rfam family "Plant small nucleolar RNA R71". Rfam says of the family: R71 is a member of the C/D box family of snoRNAs containing the C (UGAUGA) and D (CUGA) box motifs. Lineage: Eukaryota; Viridiplantae; Streptophyta; Magnoliopsida; Poales; Poaceae. The record is from Rfam by way of RNAcentral.
AUCCCAUGGUGAGGAUAGGCCAAGAUGUAAUCCUAAAGCCUUUCCCAUGCCUCAGGGAUUGACUCCGUAGCUGCUUGCUAGAAACAGGAAAUCCUUCCACGAAGGGU